Molecule: unclassified non-coding RNA, 282 nt
Filed under: uncultured fungus
Lineage: Eukaryota; Fungi
Description: sequence contains ITS2
Source: RNAcentral
AACGCACCUUGCGCCACAUGGUAUUCCAUGGGGCACGCCUGUUUGAGUGUCACGUUAACCCUCGCGCCGCAGAUGUAACAGUCUGAGGGGCGGAUUUGGACGCCUGCCGUGUGAACGGCUCGUCUCGAAAUGCAUUAGCUGUCUAAGGACCGCGCCGCUGGUGUGAUAAUUUCUUUGCGCCUAUGGUGUGGUCUUGGUCGAUGGCUCACAAACCGCCCGCAAGGGCAGCAUAUAUUAAGCAUUUGACCUCAAAUCAGGUGGGACUACCCGCUGAACUUAAGC